CCAUAAUUAUUUUCUCAAAUUUUAAAUGUUUAAUAUGUAUUUGGAUUAUCGAAAUAUGGAUAAUGCAGAAGAUAUGAGUUGGGUCAAUGUGAGAUGACUUGUAAGUUGUGGGAGUUGAUGAUGUAGUUAUAUACUUGAAGGGUGUGUGUGUGAAUUGGCCUAUAUAAGGAUCAAAAUAUCAGGGAAGAUUAUUUUCUUCCCCCGUACGCCUCUCUCUCUCCCGUUCUCUCCUCUCUCUCGGCUCUCACCUCUCUCACCUUCUCUCUUCGAUUUCAUCGACCGCGAGUGAGACUUUUGAAAAAUAUCAAGUACUAAAGUUGUUCUACGCGACGAGAGCUUCCUAUCCAUCGAAGAAAAUUCACGAUCGGAGCACUUCGAAGUUUCCUCCAUGUUCGGGCUUGCUUCUAACCUUCGAGGAAGUUCGAGUCGUCACGUGGAUCGAGGUGAGUGAUUUAAUACUUAAACACAUGGUUUUGAAUUUGUUUUUCUUAUCGAGCUUAUUUGAACAUGUUUUAUAAAUUAUGUACUCCAUGGAUAACAAUGAAAGGUGGACUUAUUUGUGAAAUAUUUGCGAAUCUAUUUAAUGGCAUUCCCAACGUCCGGUCUUGCUAGGGGACGGCUUAAUGGCUAGCAAGGGUGUUUGAGGUUGGUGUGUGUUUUGGGAUAAUGCAUAGACGUCUGGCUUAUCCACUACCGGGGACGCCUGGUAGCUUUUGAAUUUUGAAUAGCGGAAUGUGCAUUAUAUUUGGCUUAUGAUUUUGAGUUCUUUGUUUUGAAAUAUUAUCAAAUUAUUUUGCAUUGUCCAUGGAAGGCAUGUGAGUUAAGUAUUAAUCAUUCACACGAGCUUUGGCUUAAGUAUUUUCUUUUCCACCUUUCAGGAAGCGACGCGUAGUGUGGCAGAGUGUUUACUUUAGUUUGUAAAUUUGUAGUGAGAAAUCACUGGCAUUUGUCAUGAUUAAGACCUCGAGGGGCGGGUCAGGGUCGUGACAGAUCAAUUCUUGCAAACGGUUCAAGCAAACCAGGCUGCUGAUGAUGAAUCAAUGACAUCAGCAAAAAGCAAUGAGGAAUAUAAUAAUCCUUUUACAUGCUUAGCAGGGGAAUCACAAGACCCCUGCGAAGAUGAUGGUACUACACCAGCACCAACUUUAGGUGACUUUUGGGACAGCAUGACUGAGAUGAUGGCAGAACAGCUGUCUUCCUGCAAAGGAAAAGAGAAAAAUCAAUAAUUCAAAAAGUCUCAAUUAUGGAGUAACUUUGAGGUCACUCAAUAAAGGAGUGGUGAUAAUUACACAGCCAGCUUUCGGUGGGAGUACUCGUGACGAUGGGGCCCAGCAUGUACCCGACAUGUAUUUCCACACAUUUUGGUUGUAAUUUCACUUUAAUUUGUAUUUCAUUUCCUGUAGAGUCCUCUAUAUAAAGCACGCGUCAGUCUUAGUAGAGGUAGGUUUUGGUUUGCCCUCUCUCUCUCUCUAAAAACCAAGCACUUUGAUCCUCUUUCCUCCCCUUUGUAAAAUUGGCUUAGGCCUUCAUAAUAAGGUCAGUUAUCUUAGA
Molecule: long non-coding RNA, 1551 nt
Organism: Rhododendron vialii
Lineage: Eukaryota; Viridiplantae; Streptophyta; Magnoliopsida; Ericales; Ericaceae
Exons: 3
Source: RefSeq, a predicted model, not a curated record